Molecule: long non-coding RNA, 226 nt
Filed under: Elaeis guineensis (African oil palm)
Lineage: Eukaryota; Viridiplantae; Streptophyta; Magnoliopsida; Arecales; Arecaceae
Description: long non-coding RNA (EGUI_LNC001484)
Source: RNAcentral
GAGGAGAAGAAAAGGAUGAGAAGAUAUUACUAUCUGGUGGGGAGUUCAGUGUGGGGUGGAGCUUCAGGAGCCAGGAGGAGCCAAGAGUGAGGUGGAGCUCUAAGUGGAGAUGGAUCGGGCACGAGAUGGGAGACUCGAGAGGACGAGAGGCGACGUCGCAAGGUGUGAUUUUUAUUACCGCAGGAGACUUCCCCGAGCAGAUCUUUGAUCAGAGUGGACACAACCC